GGCACCCUGCAGGUCGGUGAGGUCCUUGCGCAGGCUGUCCAUGCAGGCCUGACUGCCCAGCAGGGCACAGAGGCCCAUAUCUCACAAACGUGUCCCAGUGACAGCCUCUCAGGAGACAAUGCCAUCCAUGAAAUGUCCCCAAGGAAUGAGGCAGAAACAAACAGAAAAAACAAAUUGAAACAUUCUGGGUUUUCUUCCUGGAAUAGGAAGAAGGAAAUAAAACAAGAAAUCCCACCCUGGGAAGAGGGCUUUUCAGGUGGCAAAGCACCUGGAACUCAGGAGCUUGCUUGUGAUGACCUGCUCACCCUCAAAUAACUACAGCUGCCAUCUGGAGCCCCCUGAGGUACAAGCUCCUGUUAGAUUUUGGUUCUGAUGAGCAGCAGCAAAAAACAUCAAGAAUAUACAAGUGGAAAAAAAAACACUAAAAAAACA
This is a long non-coding RNA of Phacochoerus africanus (Common warthog), 432 nucleotides long. RefSeq lists it as uncharacterized. The transcript is spliced from 2 exons. Lineage: Eukaryota; Metazoa; Chordata; Mammalia; Artiodactyla; Suidae. The record is from RefSeq and is a predicted model, not a curated record.